AUACGGAGGAUGCGAGCGUUAUCCGGAUUUAUUGGGUUUAAAGGGUGCGUAGGCUGUGCGUUAAGUCAGGGGUGAAAUGCCGUCGCUCAACGACGGAGCUGCCCUUGAUACUGGCGUGCUGGAGUACGGAUGCCGUUGGAGGAAUGAGUGGUGUAGCGGUGAAAUGCUUAGAUAUCACUCAGAACACCGAUUGCGAAGGCGUCUGACAAAUCCGUCACUGAAGCUGAGGCACGAAAGCGUGGGGAUAGAACAGGAUUAGAUGCCCUGGUAUUCCACGCCGUAAACGAUGAUGACUAACCGUCGGCGAUAGACAGCCGGUGGCCAAGCGAAAGCGAUAAGUCAUCCACCUGGGAAGUACGUCGGCAACGAUGAAACUCAAAUGAAUUGACGGGG
This 393-nucleotide ribosomal RNA is filed under the name uncultured bacterium. RNAcentral's name for it is "partial 16S ribosomal RNA". It matches the Rfam family "Bacterial small subunit ribosomal RNA", at positions 523 to 918 of the family's 1533-position model. The record is from RNAcentral.